RNAcentral lists this long non-coding RNA (242 nucleotides) under Nicotiana benthamiana. RNAcentral's name for it is "long non-coding RNA (NBEN_LNC041341)". The record is from RNAcentral. Lineage: Eukaryota; Viridiplantae; Streptophyta; Magnoliopsida; Solanales; Solanaceae.
CCUCUGGUAACUUGAACCUGAAAUCCUUGUGUCGAACCCUUCAAUGCAACCUUUCUCAGUGGACCCAUAACUCAUAUACUGAGGGCGAUAACACAGGUGCUCAAUCAUCAACAUAUGUAAUAGCAAAUUGCACCCUCGAAGAAAUCUUCCCCAGCUCUACAAGCGGUGAGAGCUCGGUAUAUCUCAGGUACUAUCGUAGGGGCAAGGGUGCUCUUGGCAUUGAUAAUCAAGGCUUUAACGAC